This 420-nucleotide long non-coding RNA is filed under the name Phoenix dactylifera (date palm). Its description in RNAcentral is "long non-coding RNA (PDAC_LNC020346)". The record is from RNAcentral. Lineage: Eukaryota; Viridiplantae; Streptophyta; Magnoliopsida; Arecales; Arecaceae.
ACUAAUUACGAAAAAUAAAAUAAAGUCCUAAUAUAACUGGGAAAGUGGUGUUUCCAGCUAGGAUUUUCGUGCAUCAAAUCUGGAAACUUCUGAAAAUUGACCGAGUCAAAUCCACGUAUUGCAGGCUAAGGACGUGCAGCAACUUCGAGAUCAAUUUUGACCUUGAUAAAUUCAGUAUGUAUCAAAACUCAAAACAUGAACGUUGUAGAGCGUUUUCUUGGCUUUCCACAGCAUCUUGAAUCAUCUCAAUCAGAGCUCGGAUGAAAAAGUUAUGCUUAAAUUACGAAGCAAUAUUGAAACUGUCCAAAAUCAUCCAAUUAGCUUCGUUUUGUACUUAACGCUUCCAUUUGCAUCCUAAAUCAAAAUAUAAGAAUAAUGAGUACAUGUAGGCACAAAAUAAGUAUAAAAGACUAAACAUUA